Molecule: transfer RNA, 77 nt
Filed under: Rhodospirillum centenum
Lineage: Bacteria; Pseudomonadati; Pseudomonadota; Alphaproteobacteria; Rhodospirillales; Rhodospirillaceae
Also listed under: 42 other names
Description: tRNA-Arg
Rfam family: tRNA
About the family: Transfer RNA (tRNA) molecules are approximately 80 nucleotides in length. Their secondary structure includes four short double-helical elements and three loops (D, anti-codon, and T loops).
Source: RNAcentral
GGACCCGUAGCUCAGCUGGAUAGAGCGCUGCCCUCCGAAGGCAGAGGUCGUGAGUUCGAAUCUCGCCGGGUCCGCCA